GCGUUGCGCAGCUCCGCCGAGUAGUUCUCGUCAUUCCCGGCCAUCACCGUCACCAGGGUCCCGUCGGGGACAUCCCCCAGGGCCACCACCUGCAACAGCAAGAGCAGAACCCUCAGCUCUCCUCCUGUUUCGUUGGCAGGAGCAUAAAGCAAAUAAUUUUCAGACCUCACCCUUGAGUGGAUGGAUGGAAAUCAUGACCUGAACUAAGGACUUUCCCCUCUUCCCAAAAUAUUUGUGCUCCUUGGUGCAGGAAUCCAUCAAACCUUUAGGAACACAGGAUUCACUGGGGUUUUGGACAUUUUCCACAUCAGCGCGGCAUUCCCAGCGUUCAGGGAUGGGGAUGGGGCAGGAGAAGGAAGAGCUGCCCCUCCUGUGCUUCCUCCGCCUGGGAUCCCCCAGGAAAAACCGGGAUUCCUCUUAUCUCCCUUCCCGGCUUUCCUCUCCCGAAUUUCUCCCUUCCAGCAGGAAAACUCUGCUAAUGACCAGCCCGGUGCGUGAGGAAGCGUGUAAUAAUUAAUCUAAAUGUGGGAAUUUAGGAAGUGAGCCCGUGAUCAAAUUCCUCCCUUUGCCCCGCUCUUAUCUGCGGGAAAACAAGAGCAGACACAAUAAAACUUUUCCCUCCUCGGCAGGAAUUCCCGAAGCUGAGCUGAUUCCCUUCUCCCUCCUUUCUCCUCUCCCCAAAACAGAGGGAAGGCUCGAGACUGAUGGCCUUCAACACAAAAUAAUAAUAAUAAUAAAAAUUGUGCCUAGCUGGGGUUUAGCAGUGACCGCAAAAAUAAAAGAAAAAAGCCCGAGCUUGACAAAUCCCGAUCCUAAAUGGAGCCCCGGGGCUCCCGGGAGCUGCGUGUCUGUGCGGCUCCCGGCUCGGAGAAAAGGAGAACGCCAAGAAUUCCCUUUUCCUCCAGAAUCCUCAGCAGCAGCGAGAAAAGCAGCGAGUUCAGGGAGUCAGCGGCAGUCCCGGGGCAAAAACAGAGCGAGGGCGAGG
Molecule: long non-coding RNA, 985 nt
Organism: Prinia subflava (tawny-flanked prinia)
Lineage: Eukaryota; Metazoa; Chordata; Aves; Passeriformes; Cisticolidae
Exons: 3
Source: RefSeq, a predicted model, not a curated record